AACGAACGCUGGCGGCAUGCCUAACACAUGCAAGUCGAACGGGAUCCUAGCUUGCUAGGUGAGAGUGGCGGACGGGUGAGUAACACGUGGGAAUCUGCCUUUUGGUUCGGGAUAACCGCGGGAAACUGCGGCUAAUACCGAAUGCCCUCGUGAGAGGAAAGAUUUAUCGCCAGAAGAGGAGCCCGCGUCCGAUUAGGUAGUUGGUGGGGUAAAGGCCUACCAAGCCGACGAUCGGUAGCUGGUCUGAGAGGAUGAUCAGCCACACUGGGACUGAGAUACGGCCCAGACUCCUACGGGAGGCAGCAGUGGGGAAUAUUGGACAAUGGGGCAACCCUGAUCCAGCAAUGCCGCGUGAGUGAUGAAGGCCUUAGGGUUGUAAAGCUCUUUUACCAGGGAUGAUAAUGACAGUACCUGGAGAAUAAGCUCCGGCUAACUCCGUGCCAGCAGCCGCGGUAAU
RNAcentral lists this ribosomal RNA (457 nucleotides) under uncultured bacterium. Its description in RNAcentral is "bacterial SSU rRNA". It matches the Rfam family "Bacterial small subunit ribosomal RNA", at positions 29 to 524 of the family's 1533-position model. The record is from RNAcentral.